This 75-nucleotide small nucleolar RNA is filed under the name Meriones unguiculatus (Mongolian gerbil). Lineage: Eukaryota; Metazoa; Chordata; Mammalia; Rodentia; Muridae. The record is from RNAcentral.
GUGCAAUGAUGUGUGAAUUUCUUCACCUGAUAUUACUGUGAAGAGUAAAAUCGAGCUUUUUAACCCUGAGUCACA